UAGUAGAGAGCUGACUUUAGAGGGAUCAAGAAUAGCUUGCUGGAUGGAAGGAGCUUGGGGCCAGUCAUCAUCUUAAAGGCUCUGUGGCAGCUUGGACUUGAAGUAGGGUGCACCCGGAAUUGACCAAUACAAACAGUGGACUGCACUGGAUUCUUCUUGUGCCCUGUCUCAUAUCCUCUUGUCCCACCUUUUCAUAACAGCCAUUGCCAUGGGAACCAGCUGCAUCCAGGCUAGAGCAAAAGGAGGUACAAAACCAAAUGCUAAGAAGCUGCUGCAUUUACUGAGAUAACCGUCUUCAGCUAAUGUGAAGCACCUACAACUUACAUAGAAGGGACCGCAGAGAAAGCCCAGGGAAGAGCCAAGGCCCUUGAGAGAAGGAGCUGGAUCCCAGAAUCUAUGGAAUUGAAGGAGAGUCCCACAGAAGUUACCUUCUGAGCACGCAAUGGACUUUGUGUAAGCAGAAGAAUAAACUUUUACCAUGAAUCGGAGAAUGCCAUUUGCUGAAUAAUGGAACUCAUCUCAUGUUUUAAAAUCCUAUGUGCAUAUAAGGUUGUGUGCGGAUACAAGGUUAUUUUUUUCAUUGAAGUACCUCCAACCUAAAGCUCAGAAACAGGUGUGAUAUAGCACUCCUAUAAAAGGUAAAAAAAAAA
This 650-nucleotide long non-coding RNA is filed under the name Homo sapiens (human). RNAcentral describes it as "HSALNT0377063". Lineage: Eukaryota; Metazoa; Chordata; Mammalia; Primates; Hominidae. The record is from RNAcentral.